CCUACGGGCGGCAGCAGUGAGGAAUAUUGGUCAAUGGCCGUAAGGCUGAACCAGCCAAGUCGCGUGAAGGAAGAAGGAUCUAUGGUUUGUAAACUUCUUUUAUAGGGGAAUAAAGGUAUCCACGUGUGGAUAGUUGCAUGUACCCUAUGAAUAAGCAUCGGCUAACUCCGUGCCAGCCGCCGCGGUAAUACGGAGGAUGCGAGCGUUAUCCGGAUUUAUUGGGUUUAAAGGGUGCGUAGGUUGUUUUUUAAGUCAGCGGUGAAAGUUUGUGGCUGAACCCUAGAACUGCCGUUGAAACUGGCAGACUUGAGUGUGUUUGAGGUAGGCGGAAUGCGUGGUGUAGCGGUGAAAUGCAUAGAUAUCACGCAGAACUCCGAUUGCGAAGGCAGCUUACUAGGCCAUAACUGACACUGAAGCACGAAAGCGUGGGGAUCAAACAGGAUUAGAUACCCUUGUAGUC
This 460-nucleotide ribosomal RNA is filed under the name uncultured bacterium. RNAcentral describes it as "partial 16S ribosomal RNA". It matches the Rfam family "Bacterial small subunit ribosomal RNA", at positions 338 to 795 of the family's 1533-position model. The record is from RNAcentral.